GCGGUUCAAUCGGCCUUUUCGUAAAUAGAACGGCGGACCUAUAAUCCGCGGGUCGGAGGUUCGAAUCCUCCCGGGCGCA
RNAcentral lists this transfer RNA (79 nucleotides) under Actinomycetota bacterium. Its description in RNAcentral is "Actinobacteria bacterium tRNA-Ile". It matches the Rfam family "tRNA". From Rfam's summary of the family: Transfer RNA (tRNA) molecules are approximately 80 nucleotides in length. Their secondary structure includes four short double-helical elements and three loops (D, anti-codon, and T loops). The record is from RNAcentral. Lineage: Bacteria; Bacillati; Actinomycetota.